Molecule: long non-coding RNA, 1355 nt
Organism: Alligator mississippiensis (American alligator)
Lineage: Eukaryota; Metazoa; Chordata; Crocodylia; Alligatoridae
Exons: 2
Source: RefSeq, a predicted model, not a curated record
CGCAAAGAAGCCAUCAAACUUCCCGGGCGGCUGCGGGGCUAGUGCAGGACGGCGCUGGCGGGGGGCCGCAGGAGCUGAAAGGUGCCUAAUACAUGAAAUGGUGAACACCCAUCCAGCAUCAAGGCUGAGAGAAAUUGGAGGACUGUAAAAGGAAACAGGAAAUAGAACGAUGGUACAACAAGAUGGCAUGAUAGCUGGAUAUGGAUUCAGGGAACUUUUUCCUGAAGCAAGACAUCAUAGUGUGACUAUUUUUUGUACCAAAACAUGUCUGGAGUAGAUGUUUAUUUCUGUAGAGCUACUACAGACUCACUUUGGUACAAAUGACAGAAUUUCCACUGCACAAGGCAGUUGCUGGAAUAAUGCUCUGCUGUAUGUGGGUCAACGCAUGCAAUUAGUAUACCUGAACUGAAGCAUAAGUGACAGCUGAAGGAUGGCAAAUGUUUUCACAAGGAACUCUGUAACUGCAACUUGCAUCCUUAUUUUGGGGGCUUUCUUUAAAAUAACCAAGGACACGUGCACGUGAUGAGAAGUUAAACCCAAAACCCAGUCAAAAAAUAGGUUACACUGAUAAAGAAAUUAUGCCUUUAGCAAUCCUUCACUCAGCAGUGCAUAAGCAAUAUAUAGCUGACUCACUCUAAUGUUGCUGUCACCGACAUUAUAAAUAUUUCAAAACAGAAGGCAUUUGAGGGAAGGAGGAAACUAGCUCUGAGAAAUUUUAGUUUGACCCACAGAUGUCUAGAAAAUAAAUAUGAAAAAGAUCAGAGGCCUGGAAAACUGAGCAGCUUUUAAUAGCAAUUUCACCAACUGUGUUGCCAUCACUGGGAAAUAUUAGUGUGAUAUGAUACCUCAUAUACCAAGAUCUUUUUUGGAACAGAGUGCUGGCAUUGUUGUUUCAGCAUUCAUUUUUUUUGAACUUAUCACAGAUGGUUAACAUGGGCCAUAUAUUUUCUCCUUUUAGUGGUCAGUGAACCUCUGCAAAGGCAGAGAGUGACCCUUUAACAUCUCCCCGGCCUUUUCUAUCUCCAGUUCACUGGGUUUACACUAAACCCUCUUCUGCACCAUCUGCACAUAACCAUAGAGAAAGGCCUCCACAUAUGGAAGCACAGACAGUUAGAGAAUUAGAUACACAUGACAUAUUUAAAAAUGGGCACCGACCUGAACAUAUACAUACGCAUGGUUCUUUCUAAUUUCUGGACAAACUGCGGGAAGUGGAUCUGAAACUGUGCAUUUGCAAUUUGCAAAAGAAAAAUUUGUGUGGGUAGAUUUCUUUCUGCCUGGACAAAUUUAGAUAAAGGAAAGAACUAAGUAAUUUUGGAAAUUGUGUGUAUUUGCAUAAAUUAAAACAUAAAAGUCUA